RNAcentral lists this ribosomal RNA (478 nucleotides) under uncultured bacterium. RNAcentral describes it as "partial 16S ribosomal RNA". It matches the Rfam family "Bacterial small subunit ribosomal RNA", at positions 28 to 507 of the family's 1533-position model. The record is from RNAcentral.
GAUGAACGCUGGCGGCGUGCUUAACACAUGCAAGUCGAACGGGAAACCUUUUAUUGAGGCUUCGGCAGAUUUAGCUGGUUUCUAGUGGCGGACGGGUGAGUAACGCGUGGGUAACCUGCCUUAUACAGGGGGAUAACAACCAGAAAUGGUUGCUAAUACCGCAUAAGCGCACAGGACCGCAUGGUCCGGUGUGAAAAACUCCGGUGGUAUAAGAUGGACCCGCGUUGGAUUAGCUAGUUGGCAGGGUAACGGCCUACCAAGGCGACGAUCCAUAGCCGGCCUGAGAGGGUGAACGGCCACAUUGGGACUGAGACACGGCACAGACUCCUACGGGAGGCAGCAGUGGGGAAUAUUGCACAAUGGGGGAAACCCUGAUGCAGCGACGCCGCGUGAAGGAAGAAGUAUCUCGGUAUGUAAACUUCUAUCAGCAGGGAAGAUAGUGACGGUACCUGACUAAGAAGCCCCGGCUAACUACGUG